CCUACGGGUGGCAGCAGUGGGGGAUAUUGCACAAUGGGGGAAACCCUGAUGCAGCGACGCCGCGUGUGGGAAGACGGUCCUCUGGAUUGUAAACCACUGUCCCCAGGGACGAAGAUGACGGUACCGGGGGAGGAAGCGCCGGCUAACUACGUGCCAGCAGCCGCGGUAAUACGGAGGGAGCGAGCGUUGUCCGGAAUUACUGGGGGUAAAGGGAGCGUAGGCGGGGAGGCAAGGUGGGUGUCAAAACUACCGGCUCAACUGGUAGUCGCACUCAAAACUGCAGCUGUUGAGUGAAGUAGAGGCAGGCGGACUUCCUAGUGUAGCGGUGAAAUGCGUCGAUAUUAGGAGGAACACCAGUGGCGAAGGCGGCCUGCUGGGCUUUUACUGACGCUGAGGCUCGAAAGUGUGGGGAGCACACAGGAUUAGAUACCCUGGUAGUC
Molecule: ribosomal RNA, 440 nt
Filed under: uncultured bacterium
Lineage: Bacteria
Description: partial 16S ribosomal RNA
Rfam family: Bacterial small subunit ribosomal RNA
Source: RNAcentral